This is a long non-coding RNA of Ursus maritimus (polar bear), 818 nucleotides long. NCBI's taxonomy places the organism in Eukaryota, Metazoa, Chordata, Mammalia, Carnivora, Ursidae. The record is from Ensembl.
CAGAAAUUAAAGUGAAUUUAUCCUCACAAUCAAGUUGAAGACUCCUACAUCAAGUAACGUGUGAUAUUUAACCAGAGUUCGCAAUUUUUAUGUUAAUUGGCUACUUUAUUCUAGACCUUAUUUUUGGAAGUAUUUUGUUACUUCAAAGGAGACACAUUCCAGCUGUCACUUCAACCAAACAUCACUAUUUGAGAUUUCACCUUCUUGCCCGUUAAAGAACUGUUUGGUGCCUUGCUGUGUGUGAUUUACUUUCCAAACCUUGAAAUGCAACACAUACCGUGGCAAGCUGGCGCGAACACUUGGAAGUCGGUCCGGCACUCCUGGCGCGGAGAUGAACAUGGUGCUCGCGGGUGUCGGAUAUUCUCGCAGCCCGGGAGGAAGUCGCUGAGAAGGUCAGUCCGUUACACAUGCUCUUGGCCUGUCCUGUUCAGAAGAGUCAUUUGAGCGUGUGCAAGUCCCAUCAUCCCUGUUAUGAGUGCUCACUAUCACGCAGGCGUUAUUCUUUUAUAGUGACUAGGAACCACGUUUCCUACCUGAGAAACACGCCGCAUCACGUUGCCUCCUCACACGUGCGUGCGGGUGGCAGCUCGCUGUUGGAGCUCAGAAACCUCUGUCCCUCAUGUGCCAAGAUAUUUGAGGUGAUGGUACCCGGGCCAGCGUGUCUCCCCUGCAGAGUAUCACCACCCAGGACAACUCCACAAAGGUUCGAGACCAGCUUGCUGUGCUCAUCUACUGCUGGAGGCUGCUUCUGGGCCUGAAGGUGAGUUAGUGAUCCCUAUGUCUGCAGGGAAUAUGGCUUGUUUUACUUUGGAUUCUGG